Molecule: small RNA, 96 nt
Filed under: Marmota monax (woodchuck)
Lineage: Eukaryota; Metazoa; Chordata; Mammalia; Rodentia; Sciuridae
Source: RNAcentral
GCUGGGUGUGGUGGUGUAUGCCUGUAAUCCCAGCAGCCCAGGAGGCUGAGACAGGAGGACUGAGGUGCUAAGCAACUCAGUGAGACCCAGUCUCUA